ACAGAAUGUCCAUGAUUCAAGAUAUAUAAAACUGACGGAAGAAGUCCCAUCAAACGCCCACUAAAAUUAUGGUAAAAUAGAUUGCAACCCACAUAACAGGAAAGAAUUGAAUGUAUACUACGUCGGACAUUAGAGAUAAAUCUCACAGAACAUGAGAUAUGAUGGGGAGGAUUGUCUAAUUUGUACCACCGCACCGUGUACAAACUUUGCUCAGUAAUCCACGAAGUUCAGACGCUUGGAACGUAGUACCACAAGCAGAUAUCGGCCAAUUCUUCCUGACGAUACCCAGAUCACAAAAAGCAUCAGUAUUCUGUCACGGAAGCUGCGUGAAUAAUAUAAAAAGAUUUUGGGAUAUACCAGAAACUGCCGGAAACUGAGGAUCAUCAAUCAUCGUGACAUAAAAAUUAUAAGAUACCUACUUAUAUAACAGUUUCAUCGGUUUCUUAUUCUCAGUAAAAGCACCAUCAAAAAGAAUAA
Molecule: long non-coding RNA, 477 nt
Organism: Diorhabda carinulata
Lineage: Eukaryota; Metazoa; Arthropoda; Insecta; Coleoptera; Chrysomelidae
Exons: 2
Source: RefSeq, a predicted model, not a curated record